Molecule: ribosomal RNA, 254 nt
Filed under: uncultured bacterium
Lineage: Bacteria
Description: partial 16S ribosomal RNA
Rfam family: Bacterial small subunit ribosomal RNA
Source: RNAcentral
UACGGGGGGAGCAAGCGUUGUUCGGAUUUACUGGGCGUAAAGGGCGCGUAGGCGGUCAGCACAAGUCAGUUGUGAAAUCUCCGGGCUUAACUCGGAAAGGUCAACUGAUACUGUGCGACUAGAGUGCAGAAGGGGCAACUGGAAUUCCCAGUGUAGCGGUGAAAUGCGUAGAUAUUGGGAGGAACACCAGUGGCGAAGGCGGCUCACUGGACCGGAACUGACGCUGAGGCGCGAAAGCGUGGGGAGCAAACGGG